UCAAAUCUGCAAUGAACUGUCAAACGUCAUAAAAAUAUUGAUAUUUUCACAAAAUUUUAAUUAAUUCUCCAAAUAAAAAAGAUAAACAGUUAAUGAUCAUAAAUUUAGUUUUGAAAACUACGAUUUGCACAGAACAAGUAAAAUGGCUUCAGCAUCAGGCUCAGGAGCAGCCGGUUCAAGUGACUGCGAGGGAGAGGAGCAGGAUGACUCGUCUUCUUCUUUUUCCAAUGACUUGGCGGAAGUCAACAAUAGCUUGAGACAAAUCAGCAUUGAUAAUAAAACUGAGAAUAAACCUUAUGAGGAUGAGUUGUCUGCAUUCCGACAACAGUGGCAGCGUGAGUUGGAAGCUACUCCUUCUCCGCAGCGGGAGCCAAAAAAACCAGUACAAGUUGAGGACGUUCCACAAACAGAUGAAGAGAAGGCUAAAGACCUGUUCCUGCGUGGUGUGGAGAUGGAGCGCGGUGGGAAGCUAUAUGAAGCUAUACAGCACUAUAAACGAGCUAUACAAAUCCUGCCUGAUGUGGAAAGCAGGCUUUAUGAUGGGAGUGACAUGAGGAUGGACACUCCUGUAGAGGAAUCUGAAACUGAAGAAAUAUGCAACAAUAAUGAGGAGGACAGUGAUGAUGACUAUGACGCAGUGGAGGGAGAGGAUCUCCAUGCUCGGCUGCAGCGAAUUGUGGCAAGAAAAGGGUAUUUGUGUCAGCCGCAAUUUCCUACUAAGGGUGGUCACAUCUCGUGGCUGCCAUACGAGGUGGUGCAGCUGAUACUGCGGUGGGUGGUGAGCGCGGAUCUAGACGCGGGCUCGCUGGAGCGCGUGGCGGGCGUGUGCCGCGGGCUGUACGUGUGCGCGCGCGAGCCGGACGUGUGGCGGGCCGUGUGCGUGCGCACCUGGGGCAUAGAAUGCGGCACCCCACGUACCCACGGGUUCCCAAACUGGCGGCAGAUGUUCAUAGACCGGCCCCGGCUCAACCUGAACGGGUGCUACAUCAGCAAGACGACGUACCUGCGCCACGGGGAGAACAGCUUCCAGGACCAGUUCUAUCGGCCCUGGUACCUGGUGGACUAUUAUCGGUACCUGAGGUUUUUCCCAGAAGGUUUAGUGCUAUCCUGGACUACUGCAGAUGAACCGGCCCAGUGUGUUGGACACCUAAAGUACAGAACUCCUAAACAUUCGCUGGGCAUCGUCGCGGGGCAUUAUAGGCUUGUGGGUGAUAAGGUGGUGGUAGUUAUAAAGAAGACAAACAGCGGUAAGAAAGUGAAUCAGCCAACUUACUCGAGGUUCAAGUCGCGACGGAAGGAGGCACCUGACGUGCACGAACAGAUAUUUCAUAUGGAGUUCGAGUUGCGCAGCGCGCGUUCCCGUCGCAACGCGGUGCUGUCGUGGCUGCACUACGCGGUGCGUGCGCGGGCGCAGUGGAGCACGCUGGAGCUGGCGGCCGGCAAGUUCCCGCCGCUGUGCUUCAGCCGCGUGCGCAACUACACCGCCGAGAGCGACGCGCCGCUGUGCUCGCGCGCCUGCUGACUGUGCUGCACUACGUUCUACAGUGAGUGUGGCCGCUGCACUACGUUCUACAGUGAGUGUGGCCGCUGCACUACGUUCUAAAAUAACGCUUUUCUACCUGCAGCACCCAUGCGAAUUCCUUUAUGGUUGUAAUUUAUAAUUUAAGUGUAUUUGCAAUAUUGUUUUGUAAAAGAAAUGCUAUUUUUGUGAUGUGUAAAUAAUAAAUUAUAGAUAUGCCAGUGCAAAAUAAAUUUGGAAAUAAAAAAUAAUGUUGCACAAAAUA
Colias croceus (clouded yellow) is the source of this 1784-nucleotide RNA transcript. It is a transcript of the gene named F-box only protein 9, with no coding region annotated. The record is from RefSeq and is a predicted model, not a curated record. NCBI's taxonomy places the organism in Eukaryota, Metazoa, Arthropoda, Insecta, Lepidoptera, Pieridae. The transcript is spliced from 11 exons.